Molecule: ribosomal RNA, 493 nt
Filed under: uncultured bacterium
Lineage: Bacteria
Description: partial 16S ribosomal RNA
Rfam family: Bacterial small subunit ribosomal RNA
Source: RNAcentral
GAGUGAACGCUGGCGGUAGGCCUAACACAUGCAAGUCGAACGGCAGCCCAGUAAGAGCUUGCUCUUACGGGUGGCGAGUGGCGGACGGGUGAGGAAUACAUCGGAAUCUACUUUUUCGUGGGGGAUAACGUAGGGAAACUUACGCUAAUACCGCAUACGACCUACGGGUGAAAGCAGGGGAUCUUCGGACCUUGCGCGAUUGAAUGAGCCGAUGUCGGAUUAGCUAGUUGGCGGGGUAAAGGCCCACCAAGGCGACGAUCCGUAGCUGGUCUGAGAGGAUGAUCAGCCACACUGGAACUGAGACACGGUCCAGACUCCUACGGGAGGCAGCUGUGGGGAAUAUUGGACAAUGGGCGCAAGCCUGAUCCAGCCAUACCGCGUGGGUGAAGAAGGCCUUCGGGUUGUAAAGCCCUUUUGUUGGGAAAGAAAAGCAGCAGGUUAAUACCCCGCUGUUCUGACGGUACCCAAAGAAUAAGCACCGGCUAACUUCGUG